GGGAUCAGCAGCUGCGAGGACAUGGGAGAGAAGCGGAGAAUUCUGCAACAAGCAGCUUCCCCGGGGCAACGGCUCCCGGAAGACGCGC
RNAcentral lists this non-coding RNA (88 nucleotides) under Karenia brevis. The record is from RNAcentral. Lineage: Eukaryota; Dinophyceae; Gymnodiniales; Kareniaceae.